Molecule: long non-coding RNA, 2286 nt
Organism: Bombus terrestris (buff-tailed bumblebee)
Lineage: Eukaryota; Metazoa; Arthropoda; Insecta; Hymenoptera; Apidae
Exons: 3
Source: RefSeq, a predicted model, not a curated record
GUUCUGCGAAAUAGACAGAGAUGAAUACAACGUAUCUGUCUUUGCUGGAACAUUCAUAGUACCUAUAUAUAUGUAUAUAUGUGUCACGCAUGCGCAGAACAAAACUUUUCCUUACCCUCCAUGUUGAUUUUAUUUAACUCAAACGACGGAUGGUUUCAUCAAUGCUUCCACUAUGGAAACUCCAGAUCUGUUUAUAUGAUCGUGUUAUAUAUACAUAAGAUCAUAUACAUAGGUGUACAGGUCUGGACAACCGUAGUUUGGCGUGGUUUGGACACUCCUAUAUUGAAAGCAUAGAGACAAGUGUCCGCCAAAUGAAGACAAAGAAAUCAAUAUGGCGUCGAUAUCAGAUAUUGUUCUACACAUGCGCAAGAUAUUGCGGUUCUUUUGAAAUAUAAUUAAAAUUCACUAGCUAGUUAUUUUAUAUUAUUAAAACAAUUAUAAUAAAUCCAAUCUAUGCCGCAAAUACCUUAGUAACGAGUGUUGUUAUAAACGAAAUAUUUACUGAGGAGGAUAUAUAACUUUUGUAUGCAAAGACGAAAUUCUUACGUUACAUUAAAAUACUCUUGCUCCUACGUUUUCGAUAUAGGAGUGUUCAGAUCUGUUUGUACGACUGUGGUUUAAACACGGAAUAAAUCGUUUUCCUUUGUAUUAGAAACGGUUAAAGGAAAAAAUACAUUUAAUCUCAGUUUGUAAUUUAAAAUAGAUUUAAAGUAAAAUAGCAAUUUUCCAAUAAAGUACAAAACAUUUAAUGCCGCAAAUUGACGUAAAAACUAUAGAGCAAGGUUUUUUAGUGGAGAUCGAAAUGUAGCAAACACAAAGUUUGUCUUGGAAUUUUAUAAAUAAUUGUAAAUAAUUGCCAUUAUAAAUUGAUUAAAAUUUAAUUUUAGAAGCAUAGUUCAAUCCUGCUGUGGAACACCUUCGAUUUUAAAAGUGGAAAAUCAAAUGUGAUAAACGUAAGAAGAUUGAACAACGUAAAAAGAAACGAUCCUUUACAGCUAGAAUUCUUUGUUAUAAAAUAUAUUUACCAACUACAACAGAUACACCAACCAAUAAAGUUACUUCAACAGUUAAAUCUUUUCCAAACCAAGCAACAAUAAUGGCAGAGAAGAGAUUAAUGUAUAAAAUAAAUGAGAAGAAAUUUUAAAGCUCUGCCAUAGUCGCCUAAUAUACUAUUAUUUGGCAGUGUAAAGUAUAUCAUUUUAAUAUUUCGCCCUUUUUAUCUUUUUCUCUGUAUUUGGUGGACUUACAGUUUUAGAUGGGUUCCGAACCACCAGAAAUAAAUAAGACCAUCAGAAAUGCUAAAAAUAAGCACAAUACAACUACUAAUAAAUCAAGUUUCAGAGGCAAUCGUGCCGUGAGCAACUGAAAAUUCGAAACCUGGCUUAAUCGGUCACGAGUACAAGCCUUAGUCAAUCUAGCCAGGGCGACUCUAGUAUUGAGAAAUAAAAUUUGUAAAAUAUAGGGAUAAACAUUUAUGAUUUGUCGCACGAAUCAGCAGUUGCAGGAAAAUCGGAAACGGAAAUAUCUUUUUAUUUCUGGUAGAUUAAUAUCGGUAAAGUAUGAAAUUUGAAAGGAAUUGAUUCUGAUAUACCGACCUGGAAAAAAUGAGGCUGUUUUUUACGCCCUCUAUGAUUCGCUAUAGCGAACAUAGGAACUAUGUACAUAAACAGGCUUGAUAUGCAAUCCUUUUUCGUAUCCUACGUUUUGGCGUACAUCUGACUCAUUGCCAUUUUUAUGUCACAUGCGACAUUAUCGAUUCAAUAUAGCUGUUUGAAUUAUAAAACUAAUAGAUAAUCUUCUAGAAAAUUAUAAAUAAAAUAUGAAAAGGAUAUUCUACAAUCGCAAAGGAAGUAUAGAAUUUUAUACUUAUAAAUACCUCUGCCCCAGACAAUCUCAAUACAAUUUAUGGAUAACUCAAAUAGACAAAUUACGCCCAAUAAAAAGAGCAAAAGACCAACGAAAUAAACAGAAAUAUCAACAAAAACUUGCUUCUGUGAAUAAGUAUAUCGAUCAAGUACAUAAACCUUCAUAAAUAUGCUAAGAUUAAGGUUUAAGUCUUACGUGAUAUCUUGAGCGAUAUUUUACAUCCUACACAAUGUCUUCUGCUAUCUUGCAAUAUCCCACAGAGUCCCAUGAUAAAUAUUAUUUCUUGCCUAAUGAAGAAAGAAUUUUGGAAAGAUAUACACAUUAUAAAAGAUUAUACGUAUAAAAAUGUAUAUAUAUGUUUUAUAUGUAAAAUAUACAAUUAUAUAUAUUUGUAUAUGCGAUAGACUCUGGACUACAGCA